UGAAAAGAUGAAAAAUCAAGAAAUGGCAAUUUUGAAUAUAACAUAAUAAUUGGUUAUAUUUUUUUAGUUCAUUUAUGGUGUCAGAGUAAGUAUAGUGUAUUACUUAUAAACUACCUUACUUGGGAAAUUUAUAUAUAAGUUUGGAAGUUUAUAUAAACUUAGAUGUGAGGGAAAUUUUAGUGCCUUUGUUUGUGUGUUUGUUUGUUUGUUUGUUUGUUUAAAGAAGACUAAAUUGGUCCUGUGGACUGUAAAUGAUGUACUUACUGUCAUAGACUGCUCGUUUUUUGGUCACAUUAUCUCUGUGGAAAAAGUUUUCAAGGCUCUUGUUUUAUUAAUAACUCCUAAAGUUUGUCUCUAAGCAAUAUCAGCUUUAGUUUAUAAAUAGCUCACUUGGAGGUGAUUAUCCUAGUAUAGGUCAUGGAAAAUGCAUUAAUUUCCUUAUUUUAUUAAUCAGAUCUUUAUCAGUAGAGAGGUUAUACCCUCCACUCCCAAUUUCUUAAAUCCUAGUCAUUUCCAAAUGGACAUGCAUACUUUUCAAUAACUUACCAAACAGAAAUGCUUGUUUAGAGGGAAUAUUUAUAGGUACCCAAGUUAUAACUAUUACAUUAUACUUGUCUCCUUUGAUACAAUAUUUCAUCUCUAACUAGAUUGUAAGCUCUUCAAGAGGACCGUCUUGUGUGUUUUAAUCUGUUACUUCCUGGAGAUCCAUCGUGCAGGAAACACAGAACAUUUCUUUAGUGAUUUAUUCUUUUUAGGGCCAUACAUUUUAAAGGAAGGGUUAGCAGUAUUCUUUUAGAGUUGUACAGAUUAGAGGAAGCAGAAAAAACAUGUUUACUAUAAUUUAAUUGAUUUUUCUUUCCCUGAGACAGAGUUUCUCAGUGUAGACCUGGCCUUGAACUCAGAGAUGAGUCUGCCUCUGCUUUCCAAGUGCUGGGAUUUAGGUGUGGGCCGCCAGGCCCAGCGUAAUUGCAGGUUUUGUCUUUUGUUUUUUCUUUUUUAAAGAUAAAGAGGAAGUUUAUUUUUAUACCUUAAAAAAAGUCUUCUGUGCUUUGGAUUCCCUUUCAUCCUUAUGCUUUACACAGUGGCAUCUUCCUCUGGAACCUAAGCAUAGUGCUGAGAUUGUGUUGCUCAGAAUAACUUCUCGAGAAGUCGGGGUCACGGUAGUAAAGAAGCGCGCCUCCCUCGAAGGCUGGACUUGGUGUUGAUUAUGUCACAAUCAAAGAAAAAAACACUGAAUUCAAAAUAAGUCUUCUCAAAACUACACAUAAAGAACAAUAUUCGGUCUGAUACUAUAUAGUGGAUAUGCAUGUCAUUCUAUAUGUCCAGAUUCAGUGCGAAGUACCAAGAUAAACCGUGAUGUCAAAAAAUAAAUACAGUAAAAAUACAUAAAGCUUGUAUCAUUGUCUACAUGCUAUUUAUCAGUUUUAUAGACUAUCCAUGGACUGUUUUAAGUAUAAUCUGUUGCAUCUUACAUUUUUCAUUUGCUGGAUGACUGGUAAGCAAUGUAUUAAAAUGACUUGCAUAUUUCUUUCUAUUCUGUAGAGCUUUAUUGUUGACAAUACAGACAGUUCUCCACUUUUAUAAUAUUGAAGACAGUGAGGAUAGCCCUGAAGCCUAUAAAUUCCUUACAGACUUCUCAGCAUCUCCAGUUGUCUGGUUAAAUGCAGAAUAUGUGUUCUUUGACCUUGCCUUCAUGCAGUCCCACCUCAGGGAGCUGAGUUUUCACUGUUCCAUGUCUGACUUGUAAAUAUUUCAUCAAGAAUUCAAGACCUAAUUCAAAAUCACUCACACUGAUGCUUAAACUUACAGACCUCUUAAAAAAAUCUACCAACAACAAUAUCAAACUGUGUAGGCCUUCAGCGUCCUUUGAAUGUAGUCUUACACAGUCAUUUAGGAUUUGCUGACCACCUCAGAUAGAAUACUAAAUAUUUAACUGCAGGUCAUACAUAACUUUGUGGUUCUUUCAGUUCAGGAAUUGAACUAGUUUAUAAAGCAAAACUUAAAGACAGCUUCACUCUCUUUCAGUGUGAAAACUAGUUUUAGAAAAGUAACUACUUGUUGAAGAUGUAGUGCUUUUUAUUUUUAAGAAAUGAGCUUCUGGGGCUGAAGAGAUGGUUCAUCGGCUAAGAGUACUGGAUGCUCUUCCAGAGGUCCUGAAUUCAGUUUCCAGCAAUCACGUGGUCCACAACCUCUAUGAUGAGAUCUGAUGCCCUCUUCUGGCAAGCACCAUAUAUAGACACAGAACACUCAUACAUAAAUAAAAAAAAUUUUUUAAAUGAACUUCAGGGUCCAUUUCGUAGCACUUUACACAUAGGCAUUGCGUGAAGGGUUGGCUUUCUAAAAAGGCUCAGUGUAGAGAGCUGUGUGAGGUGCUCAUGUCUGCGAAGGUAGUUCACUGGGAAGACGUGGCAUAAAAGUGUUGCCAAAAAAAGCCAGUGUGUGGUUUGUUGUGUAAAGGUGCUUGCUGCCAAGCUUGGUGACCUGAGUUCAGUCCCAGGAACCUGCAUGGUAGAAGGUAAGAAUCCGCUACAUAAGUUGUCCUCUGAUCACCAUACUCACACAUGCACAUGAU
Molecule: long non-coding RNA, 2572 nt
Filed under: Mus musculus (house mouse)
Lineage: Eukaryota; Metazoa; Chordata; Mammalia; Rodentia; Muridae
Description: long non-coding RNA chr1:64541745-64544317
Source: RNAcentral